Long non-coding RNA from Topomyia yanbarensis, 3068 nucleotides. RefSeq lists it as uncharacterized. The transcript has 3 exons. The record is from RefSeq and is a predicted model, not a curated record. NCBI's taxonomy places the organism in Eukaryota, Metazoa, Arthropoda, Insecta, Diptera, Culicidae.
GCGCCAUAACCAGUAUAACCAAAAUCUUGCAAAAGAGAUAAAUUUUCGCUAGAUUUUUGGGCUUCAAACAUACAGUUGCUUUCGGUGACGCCACAAGUAUAAUUAUACUAGAAAUCUUUUAUCUCACUACUAGGUGAAUUACUUGUUGAUCUGUGUAUUGAUAUAUCAUCCAACAUUUACCUCAUUAUUGAACGCAAUGCCUAAUCCAAGGAAUAAAUACUAGAACUCAAUGUUUCUUUAUCAACACAUUAUUUUGUAUUUGAAGUGAACUAAUAUAUUGAUUUUUGAGAAAUAGUUCAUUUAUUAUAAAGGUAAUUCACAAAAUGUUCUCAACAUCGAAUUCCUUGAAUCAGAUGUGUUUUCAUACCCCGAUAUUCAAAAUCGGUUUAGUUUUGCCCCUAAAACACCAGUAAAGCAAUACUCUGUAUGAAACAAUCUCAUUUUUAAUUAGUGGAAAUUGGUAAGCGAGGACUAAAAAUAUAAAAUGGUUAAUAUCUCUUCCGCUCGUGCACAGAUUUAGACAAUCUAUAGCUUGUUAGAAAGGUAUUUCUAUUUAUGUGCAGUUUGUGGGACAAUAUUGUAUUGUUCGAAAGUUAUUUGCAAAAAACCUGCUAUGUUUUGACAAAAUCGCUCAUAUCUCAGAAAGUAAACAACAUAUCGAAAAUCAAAAAUAAUAGUGUCAAAUGGCAACGUUAGGCCUUUCAUUUGAAACUGAUUUCAAUUAGAUCGGUUCAGCCAUUGCUGAGAUAAUUACAUGACAUUUUGUACAUACAUACAUACACACAUACACACACACACAUACAGACAUUGUCUCAAUUUGUCGAGCUGAGUCGAUUGGUAUAUGAGACUCGGCCCUCCGGGCCUCGGGAAAAGUUUUCAAAAUUUGAGCGAAUCCUAUACAUUUCUUUUGUAAGAAAUGUAAAAUCAUGAAUUUUCAACAGAACCCAGUGAAAGCAGUAAUUGUGAGAUUUUCCUGGUCGUCAUUAUGUUUGAGGAGUAUUUAUUCAUUGACUAGGGCAAUUUUACACAUGACGAUUUUGGAUAAAGGAUUUGACUCGCAAGUAUAAUAAUAAGAAGCCGGGUAGUGCAAAUAAGUGUAGAUUCAACCGCGAAAAAGUGUAGAUUCAACCGUGGAAAUAAUUCGGCUUUUCCAAGAGGAAAGCUUUUAAUAACAUUCAUAGGCAGGCCUGUUUUGUUUCUACAUUAUUGAUUGUUGUUAAGAACAAGCGAUUUUUUGAUAAUGAAAAUGUUUUGUGUUCAUAAAUCCCGGGCUAAAAUUCGUGAUCAUGUUCAGGAAAUGUAAGAUUUCUUUUGUUCGUCUUUAAAUUUUUUGUGCAACUAGUAAAAAGCUGAUAAAUUUACUUUCACUAGCAAUUCGUCAAAUUAAAUGAUCAAAUUACUGAAUAAGUCAGCAAUUCUCAGCUGAAAGUUUUCUGAGUAUUUUUGGCGCUUGGAUAAAAAAGGAAUGUUGCGGAGAGUUUGGUAGCAGAAUUGGUUUACUAAAUACUGAACGGCUUGCUGUUUAAAACCCAAGUAAAAUUUUCCGGUACUCAAUAAUUCAAACUAAGUGUGUAAUCUAUGUACGUUUGGUGGAGCAAAUUAAUAGACUUUUGAGCACUAAUAUUAAGACACUUUUAAUUAAACAUUGUAACGUACGUAGUGAUUAAGCAAAAUCUAUAGCAUCUGGUGUCCAAUAAGUCAGAAGCGCAACAUUCAAAACUGCGGAAAAUCAGCAAAACUGGCAUCCCGCCACACGUCAAUAAUGAAACGCACGCAGCCAGCAUCACGCACACAAGCAAUGUAAUUUCUGCAUCACACCUUGGAGAAAGGUUGGCAAGAGAACCGGAAAACUUAAAUCGUCAUUCGUGUAGUGUUGGUGUUAGAAGGUAGCCGGUGCAGUUUUGGUUGUGCCAAAUCGUUUGGUACGGUGGACAUUUUGUCCUUGGCACAAGCACACCUCGGGAAAACCUGCGUCCCAUCAAUCGUAUUGACCGUCGUUGUUUGAAGGAAUUGGCAAAACCAAUUUGAACCUUAUUCGACGGCGUCGCUUAGAAACCGAAGCUGACAGCAGACCGGUUCCAGAAAAGCAGUAACGGCGAAAUCAACACACGGAGGUCGAAUAAAUAAAUCGGUUCGCCCAGCAAACGAAAGAAAAGGACAUUCAACUAGCACGCUACCACGUACUUCUGCCAUCAAGUAAGGUUAGGUUGAAAUUAUUGAAAUCGCCCUGCUAACCGCUUACGCUUGCAGCACUAAUAGUGGCGAUUCACUAAUUGGACAGGUUGAGCAACAAACCUUAAAUUACACUCAACUGAAAGGAGCCGAUCGGAUCGGAAACGAAAGCGUCCAAAAGGAUACUCAGAUCACGUCACUCCGUGCUUCUGUCACCAAGACACAUUUGGGAGUGACAGACUAGUAAGCGUUACCGACAGCGAGCACAAUAUCCAACUGAUAAUUUCCCUCGCAGUCGCUCAGCUUCCGACGAUACAUAUUCAUGCAAGUGCGCUGACGUCGAGAAAUAAUAAGGGUGCGAGAGCUUUAUGUCGGUGGUUGGACAAGAGGAAGUACGGGCAAUUCGGUUCACGGUCAUUAGCAAACAAUCGCCCCCAAGAGGGUAAGGGUAUCCUAAGAAGUAUAUCGUAAGAAAGGGCUAACACAGCUUGCCCUUUAGGGCCUUUUUGUUUGUUUGAAAUUCCUUUUAAGGUGCGCCCAGCGCGGGAGUAAGGAGUGUGCACAUUUAGUCGUGCAUCCGAUAUCGAUCACUCCAAGCAAGGAACGAGAUCAUUCAGAUCCGCGUUCUCGAAAUCGCCGCCAGAACGAAAUCUAUGAUGCGAAGCGAAUCGAGGUGAACCGGAAUGACGUGUGGACGGUGUGAUGCUCGGCCGGUAAAGAUGAUGAUCGUGUGCGUGAGUAGGAAAAGUGACCAUUGUAUGCGUGUAGCAAUAGGACAAGCAGGGAGCAAGCAUAGAAUAUUAUUGUAAGGAUGUAAUCGAGGGAGAAAAGAAUAUAAGUGAGAUGCGAUUAUAGAUUUUGGCUUUGUGUAUUUUGUUGGUGGCAUUUUCAGUCCA